This 249-nucleotide ribosomal RNA is filed under the name uncultured bacterium. RNAcentral's name for it is "partial 16S ribosomal RNA". It matches the Rfam family "Bacterial small subunit ribosomal RNA", at positions 1252 to 1500 of the family's 1533-position model. The record is from RNAcentral.
AAGGGGUGACCUGGAGCGAAUCUCAGAAAUAACGUCUCAGUUCGGAUUGUAGUCUGCAACUCGACUACAUGAAGCUGGAAUCGCUAGUAAUCGCGGAUCAGAAUGCCGCGGUGAAUACGUUCCCGGGUCUUGUACACACCGCCCGUCACACCAUGGGAGUCGGGAAUGCCCGAAGCCAGUGACCCAAGCGAGAGCAGGGAGCUGUCGAAGGCAGGCCGGAUAACUGGGGUGAAGUCGUAACAAGGUACC